RNAcentral lists this transfer RNA (73 nucleotides) under Caudoviricetes sp. Its description in RNAcentral is "tRNA-Gln". It matches the Rfam family "tRNA". From Rfam's summary of the family: Transfer RNA (tRNA) molecules are approximately 80 nucleotides in length. Their secondary structure includes four short double-helical elements and three loops (D, anti-codon, and T loops). Lineage: Duplodnaviria; Heunggongvirae; Uroviricota; Caudoviricetes. The record is from RNAcentral.
AGUCGCGUGGUGAAGUGGUUAACACAAACGGCUUUGACCCGUUUAUUCCUUCGUUCGAAUCGAAGCGCGACUG